UACGGGAGGCAGCAGUGGGGAAUAUUGCGCAAUGGGCGAAUGCCUGACGCAGCGACGCCGCGUGUGGGAUGAAGGUCUUCGGAUCGUAAACCACUGUCGGGGGGGACGAAGGCCCGGGGUUAACUGCCACCGGGAUUGACGGUACCCUCAAAGGAAGCACCGGCUAACUCUGUGCCAGCAGCCGCGGUAAUACAGAGGGUGCGAGCGUUGUCCGGAAUCACUGGGCGUAAAGGGCGCGUAGGCGGCUUGGUAAGCCGUGUGUGAAAUCCCGGGGCUCAACCCCGGAAUGGCACGCGGGACUGUCAGGCUAGAGCAUGGUAGAGGGGAGUGGAAUUCCUGGUGUAGCGGUGGAAUGCGUAGAGAUCAGGAAGAACACCAGAGGCGAAGGCGGCUCGCUGGGCCAUUGCUGACGCUGAGGCGCGAAAGCGUGGGGAGCAAACAGGAUUAGAUACCCUGGUAGUCCACGCCGUAAACGAUGGACACUAGACGUCGGGGGGAGCGACCCUCCCGGUGUCGUCGCUAACGC
Molecule: ribosomal RNA, 526 nt
Filed under: uncultured Gemmatimonadota bacterium
Lineage: Bacteria; Pseudomonadati; Gemmatimonadota
Description: bacterial SSU rRNA
Rfam family: Bacterial small subunit ribosomal RNA
Source: RNAcentral